UACGGGGGGGACAAGCGUUGUUCGGAAUUACUGGGCGUAAAGGGCGCGUAGGCGGCCCGCUAAGUCGAACGUGAAAUCCCCGGGCUCAACCCGGGAACUGCGUCCGAUACUGGCAGGCUUGAAUCCGGGAGAGGGAUGCGGAAUUCCAGGUGUAGCGGUGAAAUGCGUAGAUAUCUGGAGGAACACCGGUGGCGAAGGCGGCAUCCUGGACCGGCAUUGACGCUGAGGCGCGAAAGCCAGGGGAGCAAACGGG
Molecule: ribosomal RNA, 253 nt
Filed under: uncultured bacterium
Lineage: Bacteria
Description: partial 16S ribosomal RNA
Rfam family: Bacterial small subunit ribosomal RNA
Source: RNAcentral